AACGAACGCUGGCGGCAUGCCUACACAUGCAAGUCGAACGAGACCUUCGGGUCUAGUGGCGCACGGGUGCGUAACGCGUGGGAACCUGCCCUUAGGUUCGGAAUAACUCCCCGAAAGGGGUGCUAAUACCGGAUAAUGUCUUCGGACCAAAGAUUUAUCGCCUUUGGAUGGGCCCGCGUUGGAUUAGCUAGUUGGUAGGGUAAAAGCCUACCAAGGCGACGAUCCAUAGCUGGUCUGAGAGGAUGAUCAGCCACACUGGGACUGAGACACGGUCCAGACUCCUACGGGAGGCAGCAGUGGGGAAUAUUGGACAAUGGGCGAAAGCCUGAUCCAGCAAUGCCGCGUGAGUGAUGAAGGCCUUAGGGUUGUAAAGCUCUUUUACCCGGGAUGAUAAUGACAGUACCGGGAGAAUAAGCUCCGGCUAACUCCGUG
RNAcentral lists this ribosomal RNA (432 nucleotides) under uncultured bacterium. RNAcentral's name for it is "partial 16S ribosomal RNA". It matches the Rfam family "Bacterial small subunit ribosomal RNA", at positions 29 to 507 of the family's 1533-position model. The record is from RNAcentral.